RNAcentral lists this transfer RNA (93 nucleotides) under Holospora curviuscula. RNAcentral describes it as "tRNA-Ser". It matches the Rfam family "tRNA". From Rfam's summary of the family: Transfer RNA (tRNA) molecules are approximately 80 nucleotides in length. Their secondary structure includes four short double-helical elements and three loops (D, anti-codon, and T loops). Further hydrogen bonds mediate the characteristic L-shaped molecular structure. tRNAs have two regions of fundamental functional importance: the anti-codon, which is responsible for specific mRNA codon recognition, and the 3' end, to which the tRNAs corresponding amino acid is attached (by aminoacyl-tRNA synthetases). tRNAs cope with the degeneracy of the genetic code in two manners: having more than one tRNA (with a specific anti-codon) for a particular amino acid; and 'wobble' base-pairing, i.e. permitting non-standard base-pairing at the 3rd anti-codon position. Lineage: Bacteria; Pseudomonadati; Pseudomonadota; Alphaproteobacteria; Holosporales; Holosporaceae. The record is from RNAcentral.
GGAGAGAUGGCCGAGCGGCUGAAGGCAGCGGUUUGCUAAACCGCCGUACGUCUUAAAAGCGUACCGAGGGUUCGAAUCCCUCUCUCUCCGCCA